RNAcentral lists this unclassified non-coding RNA (287 nucleotides) under Lasiosphaeriaceae sp. RNAcentral describes it as "partial contains 5.8S ribosomal RNA, internal transcribed spacer 2, and large subunit ribosomal RNA". The stretch from base 1 to 71 matches the Rfam family "5.8S ribosomal RNA", at positions 84 to 154 of the family's 154-position model. The record is from RNAcentral. Lineage: Eukaryota; Fungi; Ascomycota; Sordariomycetes; Sordariales; Lasiosphaeriaceae.
GUGAGUCAUCGAAUCUUUGAACGCACAUUGCGCCCGCUAGUAUUCUGGCGGGCAUGCCUGUUCGAGCGUCAUUUCAACCAUCAAGCCCCUGUGCUUGUGUUGGAGCCCUGCGGCUGCCGCAGGCUCCCAAACCCAGUGGCGGGCUCGUCGUCGUACCGAGUGCAGUAAACUUACCACGCUCAGGGCACGCGACGGGUGACCGGCCGUAAAACCCCCUACUUCUCAAAGGUUGACCUCGGAUCAGGUAGGAAUACCCGCUGAACUUAAGCAUAUCAAUAAGCGGAGGA